RNAcentral lists this ribosomal RNA (511 nucleotides) under uncultured bacterium. RNAcentral describes it as "partial 16S ribosomal RNA". It matches the Rfam family "Bacterial small subunit ribosomal RNA", at positions 28 to 523 of the family's 1533-position model. The record is from RNAcentral.
GACGAACGCUGGCGGCGUGCCUAAUACAUGCAAGUAGAACGCUGAAGGAGGAGCUUACUUCUCUGGAUGAGUUGCGAACGGGUGAGUAACGCGUAGGUAACCUGCCUGGUAGCGGGGGAUAACUAUUGGAAACGAUAGCUAAUACCGCAUAAGAGUAGAUGUUGCAUGACAUUUACUUAAAAGGUGCAAUUGCACCACUACCAGAUGGACCUGCGUUGUAUUAGCUAGUUGGUGGGGUAACGGCUUACCAAGGCGACGAUACAUAGCCGACCUGAGAGGGUGAUCGGCCACACUGAGACUGAGACACGGCCCAGACUCAUACGGGAGGCAGCAGUAGGGAAUCUUCGGCAAUGGACGGAAGUCUGACCGAGCAACGCCGCGUGAGUGAAGAAGGUUUUCGGAUCGUAAAGCUCUGUUGUAAGAGAAGAACGAGUGUGAGAGUGGAAAGUUCACACUGUGACGGUAUCUUACCAGAAAGGGACGGCUAACUACGUGCCAGCAGCCGCCGCCG